RNAcentral lists this long non-coding RNA (282 nucleotides) under Elaeis guineensis (African oil palm). RNAcentral describes it as "long non-coding RNA (EGUI_LNC042908)". Lineage: Eukaryota; Viridiplantae; Streptophyta; Magnoliopsida; Arecales; Arecaceae. The record is from RNAcentral.
CUGGCGUACAUGUGAAGUAGAGGAUCUGCACAUCCAGACCUCCAUGAAGUAUUAUUUUAGAUUUUUAAAGAUUUAAUCUUUAAUUCUAUUGUUAAUCAAAUAAAAAUUUGAUUCUUAUUUAUGUAUAUUAAUAAAAAAAAUUUUAAAUACAAUCUGAGCUAUUCGAAGAGAAAUAGUUUUCCUUCCCUUCAAUUGGUAUCAGAGUAGGCUGAAAAUACAUGCAUGCAUGUCUAAAUUUUUUUAAAUUAGUUAUAUAAGAUAUAAUUGAGAUUUUUUGUUAAU